CCUGGAGACAAAUUCAUACGUUCCAUGUAUAACGUUGGGCAGCAAGUGGAAAUCCAACGGAUGCUAAGAAAACACCCAUCUUUACAGGAGACUGAAAUAGAUUUUGAUUGUAGAUGUAAAAAGAAAAAUAUGUUGUCGCAAGCCGAGAUAUGUUCUGAGCAUUUUCGACAGCAGCUAGAAAAAAAGGAAAAAGAAUGUGAGGAUCUGAAAAGGAAACUCGACAAAGCUUGCAAGCAUCUCCAGCUUGCAGUGAAGGAACAAAAAACAAAGUCUGAACAAGCUCAAGAGAAUGAAAAAAUUAUGAAAGCCCUCCUGGAAGAAAACUCUGCCAUGAAGAACCGACUUGAUGAUUUGAAAUGUGUCAAUAUUCCU
RNAcentral lists this long non-coding RNA (372 nucleotides) under Notechis scutatus (mainland tiger snake). RNAcentral's name for it is "lncRNA (ENSNSUG00000019480.1)". The record is from RNAcentral. Lineage: Eukaryota; Metazoa; Chordata; Lepidosauria; Squamata; Elapidae.